Molecule: RNA transcript, 3790 nt
Organism: Gambusia affinis (western mosquitofish)
Lineage: Eukaryota; Metazoa; Chordata; Actinopteri; Cyprinodontiformes; Poeciliidae
Gene: invs
Gene name: inversin
Exons: 20
Source: RefSeq, a predicted model, not a curated record
AACAUGGCGAGGGAAUUUUGCUGUAGCGCUGUAACGGGAGUUGUAGUGUUUACAGCGUUGAUCCAACGGGACGCCUGAGAGGAAAACUUUCUGAAGAGUUUUGUCUGAGAAAAAAGGAUUCCGAAGGUGGGUCGGUCUCAGCGUGAGUGAGCGUCUUUCUUUGCUCUGCCAGGAGCCAGGAUCAGACCAGGUAGGGGACCUGGAUGUGUCUUCUCACCCACUGAGGAUGAUCUGAACUGGGAAGAAUCCUCUAAAGUGUCCCCCCUCAACAAAGAUAUGGCCUCAGCGACGUCCAGCCCAGGAUCAGCUUCCCCCGGCUCGCAGGUUCACGCGGCAGCUGUCAACGGAGAUAGAAGCGCCCUCGUCAAACUCAUCACAGCCGAGCCCCAGUUGAGGGACCAUGAGGACCAGUUUGGCCGCACCCCCUUGAUGUACUGUGUGCUGGCCGACCGGCUGGACUGCGCUGAGGUUCUGCUGAAGGCCGGCGCCUCGGUCAACAAGACGGACCACAGCCAGAGGAGCGCUCUGCACCUGGCAGCACAGAAGGGCAACGUGCGUUUCCUGAAGUUGCUCCUGUCCAGGCGUGCCAACUGUCUGCAGAAGGACUUGGAGGGCAUGACCCCCCUCCACCUGGCCACGCGACACCCGUCUCCCAAAGCCCUCGCCCUGCUGCUCAAACACAUCGGGCCUGGAGAGGUGGACACGCAGGACAAAAAUAAGCAAACCGCUCUUCACUGGUCAGCAUUUUAUAACCGACCGGAGCACGUCCGCCUUCUCAUCAAGCACGAUUCCAACAUCGGCAUCCCGGACAGCGAGGGCAAGAUUCCUCUGCACUGGGCUGCACACAGUCAGGAGGCCAGCGCCACGCAAACUGUCCACUGCAUACUGGAAGCAGCGCCCACUGAGUCCCUGCUGAACUGGCAGGACUACGAGGGUCGGACGCCUUUGCACUUUGCUGUUGCCGAUGGAAACGAGGCAGUGGUUGAGGUGUUAACGUCUUAUGAGGGUUGCAAUGUCACGGCUUACGAUAACCUCUUCAGAACGCCGCUGCACUGGGCGGCACUGCUCGGACAUGCAAAAAUUGUCCAUCUGCUGCUGGAGAGAAACACGUCCGGGACGAUUCCUUCAGACAGCCAAGGAGCGACGCCGCUGCAUUAUGGGGCUCAGAGCAACAACGCUGAAACGGUCGGCGUGUUUCUGUCUCACCCGUCUGUGAAAGACGAGCCCGACCUGGAGGGCCGGACGGCCUUCAUGUGGGCCGCCGGGAAGGGAAGCGAUGAAGUCAUCCGCACCAUGCUCUCCCUCGUCCCUCGCAUCGACAUCAACAUGGCCGACAAGUAUGGCGGCACCGCGCUCCAUGCGGCCUCCCUGUCGGGCCAGGUGAGCACGGUGAAGCUGCUGCUGGAGAAGGGAGCAACAGUCGACUCCCUGGACGUCAUGAAGCACACGCCGCUGUUUCGUGCCUGUGAGAUGGGAUACAAAGAUGUUAUCCUCACGCUCAUCAAAGGUUCUGCUUGUGUGGAGCUGGUUGAUGUGGACGGUCACACAGCUCUCCACUGGGCGGCUCUGGGGGGGAACGCCGAGGUCUGCCAGAUACUGAUGGAGAACGGGAUCAGUCCCAACGUCCAGGAUCACGCAGGACGCACUCCGCUGCAGUGUGCUGCAUACGGUGGUUACAUCACAUGCAUGGCGGUUCUGAUGGAAAACAACGCUGACCCAAAUAUACAAGACAAGGAGGGGCGGACUGCGAUUCACUGGUCCUGCAACAACGGGUACCUGGACGCUGUGAAGCUGCUCCUGGGCUACCACGCCUUCCCCAACCAGAUGGAGCUCACCGAGGAGAGAUAUACGCCUCUGGACUACGCUUUACUGGGGGGCCACAGUGAGGUGACCCAGUUCAUGCUGGAGCACGGCGCUCUGUCCAUCGCCGCCAUCCAGGACAUCGCCGCUGCCACCAUCCAGGCCGUCUAUAAGGGCUACACCGUCCGAAAGGCCUUCAGAGAGAGGAAGCAGCUCCUCAUGCGACACGAGCAGCUGCGCAAGGAUGCGGCCAAGAAGAGAGAAGAAGAGCAGCGAAGGCGAGGCGCGACACAGCAUGUUGGAGCGGACGGUGCGGACAAACCCAGGGUUUCACUUCUGAGAGCAGAGCAGGAGGCGCGCUCCUUAACGAACAUCGUGGAAGACCUAACCGUGAACGACUCGUCUGUCGACACAAAGACACACGCCAAGGUCAAAGAGGGGAGGCAUAAAGGCCAGAAGAUCAGGAUUUCUGGAAGAAGUCUUGCAGCUGAGCGACAAGAAGCUUUGAGCUGCAGCCCUGUCCUCGGCGACCGCUCUCCACCCGAAGCCUCACAGCACAGCCGGCUGAAGAAGCUUCUCUCUCCCGCCGGCUCUAGACAACCCCCCACUCUUAAACCUACACCUCCCACAGCGGCCAAAGCUGCCGGAGAACGGUCUUCCUCUGUCGCGUCCGCUGCAUCCGUAACGGCCUCCUCUGCAGACCGAGCUGAGGCGAACUCAAGGGACGGCAGAAAGAAAGACCCUGCCACGACUGGUCACUCGUCACGCAAGCACCGGAACCACAAAGAGCCAAGUUCAGAGGUCAGACAUCAAGCUCCAUCACUGAGGAGCAGCUCGUCUUUAGAUCACAAAAGGCCCCGCAGGAAAACGCAGUCUGGUGGGAGGGAGCAUGAGAAGGAGCAGGCGAGGAGGAACGAUGCCGCACGGAUCAUCCAGCGAGCGUGGCAGAGGUUCUGUGCACGCAGGAGGACAGAGGUGAGGGCCUGUGAAGAAGCCAAGCAGAGCAAGUCGAGCUGCACCCCCGGAAGGAAAAAAGCGGAAAACAGAGCAGCGUUUGGAAAACCUGUGUCGAGUAAAAGCUCUGUGCUGCAGAGCAUCUAUGGCAACUCUAUGGCGAGACGAGGACGCUCGCUUCAGGGCUCGCAGCCUCACCUCCUGCUGAACGUCCCCCUACGCACCCAGAGUCAGUUGGGCGGUUUAGACUGCAUUCACCUGACCGGUGCCUUGACUCAAGCCAAGCUGUACUCUUACCACCUGAGACCACAGAGCGCAGGACAGGGGACGAGAGGACGGGGCAAACACUGAGCACGCACUGUGUUUACCAACGGUGCAUUGGAUAAACAGAUUUCAGUGUAUUUUAUUGGGAUUUCAUGAGGUUCAAGGCUUUUGGGGUUCAUCUAAACAUUGAAAUAUCUGGGCAGGUUGUAUGGAGGACGUUGCUACAUAUUAGUUUAAAUGGCUACUGAACUUUGACUGGGACACCUUAGGACUACGUAAUUAAUUCAUUUUAAUCUAUUAAUCAAAUUUUUGGUUUUUUAAGUUUUUUAAAUUUUUGGAAACAAUUAAAUCAAAAUGUCUUAAAUGUAUUUUACAUACAUUUAUGUAUUUUACAUCCCACCCCCCUCACUGCUAUCUUGUUUGAUAAGCGUGUUUUACAGCUUUGUUGACUUUUGGAAAUUUUCUGAGUCUCUAAUAUCUACAAUGGCCCUAAUAUGCCAUCAUAAAAAUCUUUAUAUUUAAAUUAUAUCCUUUGUAUUUUUUUUUCUUCUUGGGACUUUGCUGUCAGGCUAAAAUUUGAGUAACAGCAAGUUCUUUCCUUGAAAAUUACAGACAUUAAUCUCAAAGUUUCAGAGUUUUUUUUCUAACAAUUUUUCAAAAAAGGAGUACAUUUCCACCAAAAAACUUUUUUUCUUUCCAUCUACAAUGGCAGUAAUACAGCGUCAUAGGGAUUAAAUAGUUCUGCCGUGACAACAUUUAAGACUUGGGAUUA